This 460-nucleotide ribosomal RNA is filed under the name uncultured bacterium. Its description in RNAcentral is "partial 16S ribosomal RNA". It matches the Rfam family "Bacterial small subunit ribosomal RNA", at positions 338 to 795 of the family's 1533-position model. The record is from RNAcentral.
CCUACGGGAGGCAGCAGUGAGGAAUAUUGGUCAAUGGACGAGAGUCUGAACCAGCCAAUUAGCGUGAAGGAUGACUGCCCUAUGGGUUGUAAACUUCUUUUAUAUGGGAAUAAAAUGUUCCACGUGUGGGAUUUUGUAUGUACCAUAUGAAUAAGGAUUGGCUAACUCCGUGCCAGCAGCCGCGGUAAUACGGAGGAUCCGAGCGUUAUCCGGAUUUAUUGGGUUUAAAGGGAGCGUAGGUGGAUUGUUAAGUCAGUUGUGAAAGUUUGCGGCUCAACCGUAAAAUUGCAGUUGAAACUGGCAGGCUUGAGUACAGUAGAGGUGGGCGGAAUUCGUGGUGUAGCGGUGAAAUGCUUAGAUAUCACGAAGAACUCCGAUUGCGAAGGCAGCUCACUGGACUGCAACUGACACUGAGGCUCGAAAGUGUGGGUAUCAAACAGGAUUAGAUACCCCAGUAGUC